RNAcentral lists this ribosomal RNA (470 nucleotides) under uncultured bacterium. RNAcentral describes it as "partial 16S ribosomal RNA". It matches the Rfam family "Bacterial small subunit ribosomal RNA", at positions 28 to 507 of the family's 1533-position model. The record is from RNAcentral.
GACGAACGCUGGCGGCGUGCUUAACACAUGCAAGUCGAACGCUGAAGCACCAGCUUGCUGGUGUGGAUGAGUGGCGAACGGGUGAGUAAUACGUGAGUAACCUGCCCUUGACUCUGGGAUAAGCCCGGGAAACUGGGGCUAAUACUGGAUGCUACAUGUCACCGCAUGGUGGUGUGUGGAAAGGGUUUACUGGUCUUGGAUGGGUUGACGGCCUAUCAGCUUGUUGGUGAGGUAAUGGCUCACCAAGGCGACGACGGGUAGCCGGCCUGAGAGGGUGACCGGCCACACUGGGACUGAGACACGGCCCAGACUGCUACGGGAGGCAGCAGUGGGGAAUAUUGCACAAGGGGCGAAAGCCUGAUGCAGCGACGCCGCGUGAGGGAUGACGGCCUUCGGGUUGUAAACCUCUUUCAGCAGGGAAGAAGCCACAAGUGACGGUACCUGCAGAAGAAGCGCCGGCUAACUACGUG